This 361-nucleotide ribosomal RNA is filed under the name Salmonella enterica subsp. enterica serovar Braenderup. Its description in RNAcentral is "bacterial SSU rRNA". It matches the Rfam family "Bacterial small subunit ribosomal RNA", at positions 742 to 1102 of the family's 1533-position model. The record is from RNAcentral. Lineage: Bacteria; Pseudomonadati; Pseudomonadota; Gammaproteobacteria; Enterobacterales; Enterobacteriaceae.
GACGCUCAGGUGCGAAAGCGUGGGGAGCAAACAGGAUUAGAUACCCUGGUAGUCCACGCCGUAAACGAUGUCUACUUGGAGGUUGUGCCCUUGAGGCGUGGCUUCCGGAGCUAACGCGUUAAGUAGACCGCCUGGGGAGUACGGCCGCAAGGUUAAAACUCAAAUGAAUUGACGGGGGCCCGCACAAGCGGUGGAGCAUGUGGUUUAAUUCGAUGCAACGCGAAGAACCUUACCUGGUCUUGACAUCCACAGAACUUUCCAGAGAUGGAUUGGUGCCUUCGGGAACUGUGAGACAGGUGCUGCAUGGCUGUCGUCAGCUCGUGUUGUGAAAUGUUGGGUUAAGUCCCGCAACGAGCGCAAC